Molecule: ribosomal RNA, 433 nt
Filed under: uncultured bacterium
Lineage: Bacteria
Description: partial 16S ribosomal RNA
Rfam family: Bacterial small subunit ribosomal RNA
Source: RNAcentral
AACGAACGCUGGCGGCAUGCCUAACACAUGCAAGUCGAACGAGACCUUCGGGUCUAGUGGCGCACGGGUGCGUAACGCGUGGGAACCUGCCCUUAGGUUCGGAAUAACUCCCCGAAAGGGGUGCUAAUACCGGAUAAUGUCUUCGGACCAAAGAUUUAUCGCCUUUGGAUGGGCCCGCGUUGGAUUAGCUAGUUGGUAGGGUAAAAGCCUACCAAGGCGACGAUCCAUAGCUGGUCUGAGAGGAUGAUCAGCCACACUGGGACUGAGACACGGCCCAGACUUCUUCGGGAGGGCACAGGGGGGGAAAUUUGACAAAUGGGCAAAGGCCUGGACCCUCAUUCCCGGGUGGAUGUUAAAGCCGUUGGGAUUGAAAGCUCUUUUACCCGGGAUGAUAAUGACAGUACCGGGAGAAUAAGCUCCGGCUAGCUCCGUG